RNAcentral lists this long non-coding RNA (5647 nucleotides) under Homo sapiens (human). RNAcentral describes it as "long non-coding RNA NONHSAT203034.1". Lineage: Eukaryota; Metazoa; Chordata; Mammalia; Primates; Hominidae. The record is from RNAcentral.
GACGCCGGGGCCCGCCAUCCCCAACGUCCACCGCGAGCUCCCCAGAUCCAUGGUCUGGAGCAGGUCCAGAAGACGCACCUGGCAGGACGCCCCGGGCGCCACAGUCGCCCUCCACACGGGCCACCCCAAUCCUGCCGCGGCUCCGUGGCUCUCCUUACCUUUACCUGAGGUGAAGCAAGGACGUGGAAGCAGCUACGGCGCGCUACCAAGCACCUCACACCGCUCUCAACAGUACUGCUCAGCCUCCCGGCCCGCCGAUGCGCAGGCGACAGCAGCCAACUUGAUGCUCUUCACUUCUUACAAAUUGGCAUGCCAGGCUGCUGCUCAGGUAAUCUGCCUCUUGGACCGGCUCUGAAAAUGGGACAAUGAUCAGUGCAAGAUCCCUGAGAUGCUGAGACACGAUGGGAUGGAAGAAAGCUAUGGGACAAGUGGCCUUUCAUAGGAGGAGGAGCUCCUUGUCAAAUGUGAGGAGCGAAGCAGGACAGGAGCAUGAGAACAGGAAGCCAGAAGUUAUGGGGACACUCAAGCAGCACUAGGGAGAGGCUCAUGAGUAGAAGAACUGAGGCAUCCUGCAAACAGCCAUGGACUAACCUGUAUUGGGAGCAGAUUCUCCAGCUCCACGUCUGUUCCUUAGUCUCUGUUGAGGUGAAACUCCAAUAUCUGAACCCACCAGCCAAAUAAGCAACCUGUGUACAAGCCAAGUUAAAAUUUCACUCCCGUAAUGGAUGAGGAGAAACCAGAAGACAUUUCUCAUGCACAGGGAGUGCAUGAAUCCCCUGAAUUGCCAGGUUUCAGGGUCACAUGAGACCUCUAGAAGGCUCUGCUCAUCAUCACCUUAUCAUCUGGUGAUAUACCUAUUCUAACGAAGGAGGGAGAGGAGUAAUGCACAAGAAACUCAGGCCAAUGGGGGAGCAAGAAGAAAACGAAGAAGUGCAGUGCAUGCGUCAUCGGUGUUUAACAGUCAGAAGCGAAACAGUUCAGAACAAGGCCUGCCCUGUCAAAAGAAGAGCUAAAGACAGUUAUAUAAAAAUUAAGGUGGCAGCAUCUCGGUCACUUACCACAAGGAAACAAUGAGUUUCAAACUACUUCUAUACAUCAAAAGAGUACAUGGAUAAAAUAUAGAGAUAUACAGACAAUUGAUGAACAUAAACUACUAGGAUAACUCAAUCUCAGUGUGACUACUGAUCCGCCGCCACGUGGCUUCCCGGACACACUGCUGCAGCGCCAACAGUGGAGAGGAGCUCUCCAUCACAACCAGACAGCAGAAGCACAGCACAGUGAAGCACACCUGCCCACAUGAUGCACAAUACAGGUAUUCAUUUACAACAGAUAGAUUUUAUGCCCUGUACAGGUAUGAACACAGUGAAGAUUUGACGAUGGUCUCUCUUUCAGCUGAACUCUGGAGUUUUAAUUACUGACAUUUUCUUGGAAGAAAUUAUCCUUUGUGGUUUUAAAACAUGUGGGCUUUUUUUUUUGUUGCUCAAGUCACAUGUUCUAACAAGACAGUUUUAAUAAGCCAGUUUGACUAGAUGUAAAGUACUUGGAUUAAAGUGAUAAUCUUACUUUGUGGCCUAUAAAUUAACACAUCUGAAUUUCUUUUUAAGAAUUCAGAAACCAGUAACUUCCAAACAACUUGAAAUUGAAUAAAUAUUUUCAGCAACCCAGGGGUGAACUAAAUGCAACAGAUUAUUCAACUUUAAAAAGUCUUACUUACUGUACAGAUUUUCCAUAUUAAACAUCUGGUAUGCCUCAAUUUUUUACUUAAAAGUCUCGGACUUUGAGAGCAUACAGCAUUUUUUGCACAUAUAUAACCAUGAUGUACUUUAAUAUUCCAAUCUUAGGUUGUGAUUUUAGAGGUUGUUUUGGUAUCAUUAAAUACCAAUGGGACCAAACCAGAAAAUUAAAUAAAAAUAUAAUUCACCACUCACACACCCUUAAGGGUCUAGAUUCAAUUUCCAAAAGCAUAAUAUUGGGUAGUUACUUGCAGUUGUGAAAAUAAUUUCAAUCUUGGAAUCUUGGUACACAGUCCCAAAAUUUAAAAAAAAAAAAAAAAAAAGGAAAUCCACUGUAAUCCCAGUGUCUUUAAAAUAAUGCUGCCAGCCCGACCCCACCUCACCCCACAGUCAACCAGUUACCAUGGUUCAGGAUAGGACAAACUUAGGUUUUGGACAAAUGAAGAGUUCAAUGGCUGUUAAUUGUCACAGGCAAGAAAAGAAGGAAAACCAAAAGUUGAUAAAUGUUAACUCAACAAUUAUAGUCUUUACACAGCUUGCCUUAAAACUGCUCCAGUUCAGACUUACUCUGUUCAAAAGUGAAUAUACAGAACGUUAGUGUAUCUCUCUAUUUAAAUCUCAGUCUCAGUACUAAUCUUCUACCUCCAUGAAACAUACACAACAAAACAAAAGGAAGAGCUAGGGAUUUGGGAAGAGGCACUUCCAGAAAAAAAGAAAGUGACGAUUAUUUCAGAUUUGAAUUUACCAUUUUUACCAUUUUUUCUGUUUCAAGGUCCCAGAUAAUAUACAUUUCUUCAUUAAUUAUUCAUUUUCUGAGUGCCUACUAUGGCUGGAGUACUCUAUUCGAUUUCAAGCUUAGAGAGAGAUUGAAACAGAAACAGUAACAGUCCCUGCCCAUCUCACCCUUCAUUAACUUGCUGUGUGGAAGACAAGCAUACAGACUGGACCCUCAUGAGGCAAUGGUAGUAGGGCCCACAGGGAGGUGUGCUACUGAAGCACCCUGAGGGCCUGGAGCCCACCAUGCCCGUGGAGAGAGGUGCUCCUGAGGAGACAGAGUUCUGUGCGUUCUCCCUAUGGAGUCCUGCAUUUACUAGAUUUCAAUCCUCUUCCCCUGACUGAUUUCAAUCCACACACCCUCCCACUAUUUUUUUUUUUUUUAAAUAAUAAUAGGCUUUCUGCCCCAACUAAAGGAAUUUUAGGCUUCUGCAACAAGUGGAGGAGGCAUUUUGAAGAUGGGACACAAAGAAGUCUUCUUUCUCCAGAUCCAGAAGUCAGGCCUUGUAAGAAUUCAAGCCAAAAAAAGUUCAUCCAUGGGAAAAACGGUUCUUCUAUCAUCCAGCACGUAUUUGUGCCAACAGAGCUGAGGGACUUGAGUAAUUCAAGAGGCUAGGGGUUGGGGGGCAGAUGUGUCCAGUGGCUCCCACAGCCCCGCCGUCCUGAAAGUCACGCCAGUUAAUGUGCCUCGGGGUGGAUCAGCCCUCCCGACAGAUGACUACUAGGAAAUUAAUCCCCAGUUAAUAAUGUGCUUUGGACCAAGUAAGUCAAGAUUAUUUUUCCUACAAUUAUACAAAGAUAUGCUUUUCCAGAAGGGAACUUCUGGAAAAAGAACAAAUAACACUAUGCUUAAAAUAUUAUUCACAUAUUUAGAGAAGAAAGAACUUAAAAUAGCAGAAGACCUGAAUACCAUGAUCCACGGUGCCCACCCCUGGGAGCAUGUCUUUGUGUGAGACAAGACCUAGCACAGCAGGGCUGGCUUUCUAAGGGUACGGUGAGGCACCACUGAACUCAUCAAGGAACUAUGCCUAGUCUUGCCCCUCUGGUUUAUGUCACCAGUAUCAAAGAGAGAGGACCUCUGGAUGCCUGAAUGAGGCAAGAACUAAUGUGAAGGCCUCAGCUGCCUUAAGAGAAUUAUGCCCUGAUCUGGCACAGUGACGAAUGUCUGUGGUUAUACUGCUCGUGCCGCUGGUGUGCUGCUGGUGAGGUGGUGGGGUGUGGGUGUCUUUUAAGGAAAGCGCUACUAUUUUAGCUCUCUUCCACUCCAGCUCUACAAAUCAGUGCAAGUCUAGUUCAGGCAGGGUCAAACCAUUUUGUUCACCUACUUUCCUGCCAGUGAUUUCAACCUUGACCUUCAAAAAUGCUCUGCAAGAUUAAAAGUGAUUUAAGAUUGUUUUCUUUCAGUGCAAACUGCCAGUUGAUACAACCUCUUCAGUUUCUGCCUGCCAGUAUAAGAUAGGGAAUUGUUGAUACUAUUUAGUGUAAAUAAAAUAAUUUCUUAAACAUUGAAAUACCAGUAACAGCUGGGGGAGGACUCACCGUUAGUCAAUUACACUUAUGAAACUUUCAAAUAGAAAUUUUAUUUUCAGUGGAUUCUGUUUUUCUUUCUUAACUGCAAAAUCAGCAAGUCAUUGGUUAAAAAGUAUACUCUCCCCGCUUGAAGUCAAACAAGUAUUCACCCUAAGAGGCAAAGUCCAGUAUCUACAGUAAAAACUGGCCUGACCUUUGGUAUUCCGCAAGGGCCUGAACUUCCAUUCCAUUCCCAGUGCUGGAUGUGGAGAAUGGGUGAUCCCAAGCAACAAUCAUUUGCCUUUCUGUCAAAAGCUGUCUCGGUUUAAAUGUACUGUAUUUUCUUUGCCUCUUCUUCUCAUCGGAACAUGUUCUAGUCUACUCGCCAGGUGCUACUUCUGGCAGUCAGAAAUAGUGCCACUUUUCAACUUCAAGUUUCUUACCAACCUUUUUUGCAUUCAUGCAGCAAGAGUUCAUGAAAUAGCUGCAAAGUGCUGGACACUGUUAGGUUGUGGGAAUUGCAAGAGAAACAGAGUUUCUGCCUUCUAGAUGCUCACGUCUGGGGGUGGGGCAGGUACAGCAGGGGUGAUCAAUCCACAAAAAUUUACUUUUAAAAAUGUGUUAUGGGCUGACUUGUAUCACCUCAAAAUUCAUAUGGGGAAGUCCUAACCACCAAUACCUCAGAAUGUGAUUGUAUUUGGAAACAGGAUCUUUGCAGAGGCAAUUAAGUUAAAAUAAGGACAUCAUCAGGGUGGGCCCUAAUCUCAAGUGACCCAUGUCCUUCUAAGAAGAGAUUAGGACACAGAUACACAGAGGAAAGACCAUAUGAAGACACAGGGAGAAGACAGCCAUCUACAAGCCCAGAAGGGAGGCCUCAGAAGAAACCAACCCUGCCAACAUCUUGAUCUCAGACUUCCAGCGUCCAGAUUGUUAGAAAAUAAAUUUCUGUUGUGUAAGCUGCCCAGUCUGUGGCACUUUGUUAUGGCAGCCCUCGCAAACUAAACACAGUGUGCUUUUUAAGGGCAACAACAAAAAAGAAAUAUAUAGGUUAAGUCAAAUGUAAUAGCUGCUGGAACAUCUAUCAACAGACUAAACAACAAACAAAACCAACAUUUAGCAUAAUAUCCAGUAGUGCUGUCAACAAAGGAAAUGGGGGUGGCAGUGAGCACAUCUGGGAGGGCAUUUGAUGGCUGUCAGAAUCAGCCAAGGAAGAUGAUAGAAGGGUGAGGGAUAAGUGCAGAAUAAGCUCCAUGCAGGCAAGUGGCCCUGUAGCCAGGUCUCCCUGCAGCUCCUAGGGGCCACAGCAGUAACAAGACCCACAUGAACCCAUGAGUUUCUGUGCCCUCAGUUUUCUAACUAGUUCAGAAUAUUAGGAACUGACAAUGACCCUAUCACUGAAGCUUUUGAGUGCUGAUAAUAUGAGGGUCAGAAAACUGGUAAGCUGAUCCAUCUAUCUAGAGUCCAUCUGUGCUUGCUGAACUGUAAAGCUGCCCAUUCUUCUUGGUGCUCAUCAACUGACACUCCAAACAUGGACACGUGGCUGAUACUGCAUUCCAUUCAUUCAUUGUCUGAAUUCAAGUUUGUGUUUUUCAUGAAGGCCAAUUAAAUUAACUUUCUUUUUGACACUUCAU